Molecule: non-coding RNA, 3498 nt
Organism: Microcebus murinus (gray mouse lemur)
Lineage: Eukaryota; Metazoa; Chordata; Mammalia; Primates; Cheirogaleidae
Source: RefSeq, a predicted model, not a curated record
CUCAAUGAGUUACUUUCAGCUCUUCUUCUGGGUGGACAGCAUUUGAAGAAAACCAGAGAGAAGGCAUAUUUCUACAGUUUAAAAUGGGGCUGGACAUGAUGGGGUCGCCCCGGAGCUACUCAAUGCCAUUCUGCGGCAGGGCAGAAGGAUUAUUACCUGCCUGAACCUACAGAUGAGAGGAGUCCUGCUGCUCUGUGUCUGCGCUUGGCUCCAAGUGCGUGGAUGUGCUGGGAAUGGUGGUGUCCCGGGGGCGCCCCGCUGACACAGGUGGGGGAGACGCGGAGCCUCCUUCUGCACUCUGGCUGUGGUCACGCGCUGCCCGUGGGAGUGGUAAGGUAGGCACCGUCGCUUGGCCUCUCGACACAGGCUGCUUUGAGAUUAACGAUGAAAUGGGGUGAACCAAUGCAACGAAGAGCUGCUCCAGUCCUCGAUGGGAAAGCCCGGAAGGUGGGGGCUCUGCCGGAGCUGCUAUUCCUGCAUUUCCCCGUGUGGGUGUGGAGCACGGUGCACGCACACAUCUAUUGCCCUGGCAGGUUUUGUGUGUGUGUGUGUGUUUUUGGGGAGGAAUUUAAGCAAAUGUUGUGCCUGUCAUAAGCCAGGAAUCUAGAGGUGGAAGUGAAUUUAUGAACGUGUUCAUCAAUUCCGAUGACGUAAGGCAGGACAUGGCUGUUCUGGGUGAGCCACCGAGAGUGCUGAUGUCGACACCAGCAAGGCGUUAGUUUCCUGUCGCUGCCAUAACAAACACUGUGGCCCAGGAGGCUUAAACCACAGAAACUCACUGCCUCAUGGUCCUGGAGCCUCCAAGUGUGAAACCAAGCUGUUAGCCAGGUCGGUUCCUUCUGAGCUGAGAGGAAGAAUCUGUUCUAGGCUCGGUUCCUGGCUCUGGUGGCUCUGGCGCUCCUUGGCUUGCGGAUGGUCUCUCCCUGCAUCUUCGCGCUGCCUCUCUGCUGCACAGGCUUGACCUGAUGUCCAAGCUCUUGGCGAUGCCCCAAGGAGUUUGGGGGAUCCAGGAGUUGCCCUUGUCAUCAGACCAUGACAACACACAGACUGGUGACUCUUGAGUCAACCCAGCUUAGAGAGCUCCCCAAGCAAGAGCACAAGACAGGAGAAGAGGAUUUGAGCAGCGUGUGGGUGUUUCUCUUCCUAUUACGUAAUCCACACGUGUGUUCAAGGGGCAACUUCAGCAACGCUCCUGCCUCAAUGGGCUUGGCAAGCCUGUCCCAACACAGCAACUGGCCAUCCGGGGCAGAGAGCCGGAGGACGAAGCCUGCUAACACACAGAGUCGUUCUCUGGCCACUCUGAGGAUGGAGGAUAUGGCAUGUGUUUGAACAGUCUCCUAAUUAACCUUGAGAACAUGGUCACAGACACACACAAAUGAUUGGCACUGAAAGCACUUCUAAUGUGAAACAGGACGGGGCCAGUUAAACUGUCACGGCUGGCCUGUGUCCCACUAAAAGGAUAAGUUGAGGUUCCAAUCCCCAGUACUUCAGAAUGUGACGUUAUUUGGAAAUAGGGUCAUUGCAGAUGCAACUUGUUAAGAUGAGGUUCUACUGGAGUAGGGUAGUGUCCUCAUAAGAAGAAAAGAGACCCAGGGACAGAUCCACAAGGACAAGGACAGGUGACCACAGAGGCAGAGACUGGAGUGAUGUGUCCACAAGCCCAAGGGCACUAAGGACAACUGGCAACCCCCAGGUGCCAGGAAGAAGACAGGAAAGAUUUCCCCCAGAAUCAGAGGAAGCACGACCCCCCCCACACACACCUUAAUUUUGGACUUCUGGCCUCCAGAACUUAGAGAAUAAAUUUCUGCUGUUUAAAGCUGCCCUGUAUCGAACUUAGUUCCUGUAGCCCUAGGAAGCCAACAACUGCAACACUUUCACAACUGACUAUACUCACCCAUUAAAAAGUAACGCCCUGCAAAUGAUGCUUGGUGACAUAGGAAAAUGCUCAUGCUGCAGUAAAUUAAAAAAAAAAAAUUGAAUUGCAAACAGCAUGCACUGUAUAAUUGCAUUUUUGAAAAGCAAAAUAUGUACGUUUAUUCACAGGGAGAAAUGAUUGGGAAAACAUGCUGAAAUGUUAACCAGGAUGUUCUUGCUUAUAAUUAAGAUUGUGGGUGAUUUUCAUUUGCUUUUGCUUUAGCUUAGUUUGUUGAAGUAUGUCCAUGCACUGAACAUUGACGUACAAGAAAGAAUGCUGGAUUUCUUUUAGCAAAGGCAAAUGGCAAGAGCAAAACUAUGUGUACGGAUCUGGGAGGUAAAGUCCCGAAAGUGUGUGACCAGGAAGGGAGGCAGCAGGACCAGGGCUGGCUUCUCAGGCACAAGAGGAACAGAAGAACCAUCAACCACCUGGGAAGCCCAAAUGAUUCACUGUGUGAGAAAUGCAAAGGAGAUCGCUGAUUUCUGGUGAAAUGUGAGGGGCUGGAGCAGCCGAGGUUCAUGAAUGAGGCCACACGGGACUCAGUCAUGUGGACGCUGAGGUCUGUCCCCUCCGAGUGUGAGCCACAGCCGCUGCCUGUGAGUGACUCACCUGUUGGCGCCUCAGCUUCUCUUUCCGUGAAGUGGAAGUGGCAUACUCAGGUUGCUGCGAAACGCUGAUACAUACGCAAGAGUUCAUCAAAACAACAACAACAACAAAACCCAGAUGGAAAUAAAAAAUCGUCAGUAUUUACAUCUGGAUGAGAUUGCAAGAUGCCCUUAAAUGCACGUAUAAAUGAGGCGGCAGCUCAUGGUCCAGUCUCAGCGGUCCUCCAGGUUGGUUAAUUUCUGUGCAUACGGUAACAGCUUCUUGCAUGUGCCUGUACGUUGAGUAGUCUACAAUUUGCCAGCGUUACCACUUCUCCUGGCCAGGGUCACCUGCCUGAACUCCUGUGCAGACAGUGAGAGUCCUGCUGCCGGGAAGUGUGGCGAGGUGAGCGUUCAGAGGAGACCCGAGCUCUGUCACCAGCCUUAGGUUAGGGAAUCUGAAAGGCUAUUACAGUUAAAUGACAAAUUUCAAUUCUAAUUUUGCCUAUUGGCUCAAAUGUUUCUGUGCCUCUGUUUCCCUACCUGUCUGGUAGGGGCAUUGUGAUCUCUAUCCUCACCUCAUGGCGUACACCCAAAAUGCAAAGACAGUACCUCCCUGCACUCUGCCCUUAGGGAGCAAGCACUGAUGGCUUGUAGCAGGCGUUUUGUAUCAAUUACCUCGUAAUUAGCUCUUUCACCGAGGGCCGACUUCUCCAAAUGUCUUGAGUGGCACAUCUCAGAUUUUAGAAACAUCAAAGGAAGCUUUCCCAGUGGAUCCGGGAGGCACAGUGUCCCAAAUCCACAGAGCUGCAGGCCAGCCAGAGGGACCCAUGGGCAAUGGCAUCCGGAAAGGGCAGCUUAGCUCAUCCCCAGAAAGGGCUGUGAGACAUGACACAUAAUUCUUCUUGAAUAAAAGUUUUGCUUUCUGAGUCUUGCCGAGAUACCACUUUGAAAUAAAAGUGAUGUGUCUGAAACUCAGCAGUCAUCUGACACCUCCUU